Non-coding RNA from Ataeniobius toweri, 105 nucleotides. Lineage: Eukaryota; Metazoa; Chordata; Actinopteri; Cyprinodontiformes; Goodeidae. The record is from the annotation of a GenBank genome assembly.
GGCAUGGCGCUGGUGGUGUAGGGGUUAGCGCGUGACCACAUAUAGAGGCUAUAGUCCUCGAAGCGGCCGUCCCGGGUUCGAGUCCCGGACCCGUGACCUUUGCCA